GAAGUGAUUGAAGAUACGAGCCUUUUUUGUAUCGCGAUGAGUGACGGUACAGAUGCGGGACUGCUGCUGCCUGGCUACGUGUCCUCUCCUGCCCCCGCCAAGUCAUGCAGCCAAACCAGCCAGCCCGCGCCGCUUCAGCUCGCCACGUGUAAAAGACCCAGCCUGACAAAAACUGAAUGUCCGGCCUUGUCUUGUCAUGGAUGCUGUCUUGACUGGUAAAAAGAAAAGUGUGUUCGCGCAAGACGGAUCAGGUUCUGCGUUAUUCAGUCUGCGGCGCCUCGCUUUCCUUCUUUCUCCUCCCCGCCGCGGCUCCUCUUUAUCCCUGCCACUGCCGAGCUAACGCCGGGAAUGCACAAAGCACUGGUUGUCAUGUAGAAAGUCUCUUGCUCUAGCUCUCUCGCUCUCUCUUUCUUGCCCGCUUCCUCGCUCCCAGUGCGGACGCUGCUAGUCACUCAUUGUCAGCAUACCAAAAGUGAAUGUGAAUGUUGCCGUAAAUCUUGUUUCUAAGGUUAAAGUAAAAAGUUCAAGUAUGAUAAUGACUGUGAAUAAGAGAGAUUUACAGUGCAUACAAAAAACAUAUAACGACAAAACUUUAGAGAAAUGCGAGGGAAGAGACUGGAAAUCGAUUAUCAACUGGAGACACAUUAGUGAAAGUGAAACAGCGAAUGUGAAACAGAUCUAACUGAAGUAACAAAAGAAGAGAAGUAAUACUUAUAAUAGUAUGAAAAAAAAAAGUAAUCAGUAAAACGAUGGUGAAUAAAGGAAAGACGCAUAAUAUGAUGAAAUAAAACACAAGACAAAGCAAAUCAACCAAAGCGAAAAAAAAAAAAAAGUUAAAAGGGAGCAAUGCAUGAAAGUGGAAGUGAGGAGACAAACGAACAAACAACAGAGACGAUAGUAAAAAGUAAAGAAAAGUAAAUAAAAGCAAGGACAAAGAAAAUCUAAAAGUCACAAGAGAAGAACCACAAUAUAAAACAAGAAAUGAAAGCAGUGAGGAUAAAGAAAAUGACAAAGAAGCAAGCAAACAAAGAAACAGAGCACAAGAGAUACUGAAAAAAAAUAGAAUAAAUGAAUAAUAGUAAACAAGGAACAAGUAAAACACAAGGCGCACAUUACUGGGAAACCGUAACAAAGAAUGAUGGAUAGAAGCUAUGUAGAACUAAAACAAGGAAGCAAACAAACAAGAAAACAACAGAUAGGUAACCAAAAGACCCAGGAAUAAAGAAAAUCAAGAAAAAAAAACGUAAUAAGCAACAAAAUUAAGAAAGUAUUGAAAAUUAGAGCUAAUAAACAAAGAAAACCACAAAUAGACAAACAAACAAACAGCAAAGGAUAAGGUGAAAAAAGAAUACACUAGAAACAAACCAAAUAGAAAUAAAACAUCACAGAACAAAACAGAAAUAAAUAAAAAGAAGCGAAAAAAAAACAAAGACGACUAAAAGCAACAAAACAAAACAAACAAAUUAAAAACCUAGAAAAUAACAAAUAAAAUAAACCAGGAACAAAUAAAUCACAAAGUAAAAAGGAGCCGUAGCAAAGGCAGUCCUACGAGAAUCCCUCAAGGUCGUUAUCAUCAUCGUCAUCAGCGGCAACAACACGGCCACGGCCAGCCAGCACCAGCUCCUCUCGGCUCCUCCCAGCACGUCCCUCGUCACGUAGCAGACAUGUUCACCAAAAACCCCUUCACUGGCCGCCUCUCCCAAGCCCCAGGGGUCCAGAUCCCAAUGAAAGGAGUGGGCCCAGUAGCAGCUGAGGCCCCUGUUAUCAGCUACACCCCCGGCACUGUGUUCCCCAAGCAGCAGACAGGGCCACGCAGCACUGUGCCAGACUUUGUGCUGCAGAAGAUGAAGCAUUUCCAGACUCCAAACAACAUCCCCAUCCACCUGAAGGGAGGACCGCUGGACAGAGUGCUGUUUGGGGCAACCUUGGUGUUGUGUGCUGUUGGUGUAGGGAGCUGCUUUCAGUUCUUUUAUGAAAUGUCUUUUCCUAAGAAGAAUGAUUAAUAUAUAUGUAUUAGAGAAUUAAGGUUGGUGAUUAUUGUACAUAUUUGUGAUAUUUAUGGUUAAUUGUUCCCCAGUAUCCAUCUUUCAAAAUCAAUGAAAAUGUUUGAAACUUUUAUGUAUAAAAUACUGAGGGUCCAAUGCUUUGUAGAUUAACUUCAAUAAAUUAAUAAAUUGAAA
RNA transcript from Portunus trituberculatus (swimming crab), 2180 nucleotides. It is a transcript of the gene named cytochrome c oxidase subunit 7A2, mitochondrial-like, with no coding region annotated. Lineage: Eukaryota; Metazoa; Arthropoda; Malacostraca; Decapoda; Portunidae. The transcript has 5 exons. The record is from RefSeq and is a predicted model, not a curated record.